Molecule: ribosomal RNA, 253 nt
Filed under: uncultured bacterium
Lineage: Bacteria
Description: partial 16S ribosomal RNA
Rfam family: Bacterial small subunit ribosomal RNA
Source: RNAcentral
UACGUAGGGUGCGAGCGUUGUCCGGAAUUAUUGGGCGUAAAGAGCUCGUAGGCGGUUUGUCGCGUCUGCUGUGAAAACUCGGGGCUUAACCCCGGGCCUGCAGUGGGUACGGGCAGACUAGAGUGCGGUAGGGGAGACUGGAAUUCCUGGUGUAGCGGUGAAAUGCGCAGAUAUCGAGAGGAACACCUGCGGCGAAGGCGGGUUGCUGGGCCGACACUGACGCUGAUGCGCGAAAGCCAGGGGAGCGAACGGG